Molecule: long non-coding RNA, 633 nt
Organism: Brienomyrus brachyistius
Lineage: Eukaryota; Metazoa; Chordata; Actinopteri; Osteoglossiformes; Mormyridae
Exons: 4
Source: RefSeq, a predicted model, not a curated record
GUGAACACAGGUAAGUAUUCAAAACACAGGGUGAAUGCAGAGAGCGGCAGGUGGAUCAGCCCUGCAGAUUUAUGCUUCCAGGGUUAAGGGUACAAAUUCAGCCUCUGGCUCUCCCUCUGUAAUGGCUUCCCAUACAGGUCUAUGUACACAGCAGGCGGAACAGAUUCCCGUACAGGAGUGCGUACAUUUCAGGUGUGACGGCCUCCCGUACAGGAGCGCGUACAUUUCAGGUGUGACGGCCUCCCGUACAGGAGCGCGUACAUUUCAGGUGUGACGGCCUCCCGUACAGGAGCGCGUACAUUUCAGGUGUGACGGCCUCCCGUACAGGAGCGCGUACAUUUCAGGUGUGAGGGCCUCCCGUACAGGAGCGCGUACAUUUCAGGUGUGAGGGCCUCCCGUACAGGAGCGCGUACAUUUCAGGUGUGAGGGCCUCCCGUACAGGAGCGCGUACAUUUCAGGUGUGAGGGCCUCCCGUACAGGAGCGCGUACAUUUCAGGUGUGAGGGCCUCCCGUACAGGAGCGCGUACAUUUCAGGUGUGACGGCCUCCCGUACAGGAGCGCGUACAUUUCAGGUGUGAGGGCCUCCCGUACAGGAGCGCGUACACAGAUGGUGUGUGAAGGUGCCAGCAUUCA